AUUUGUUCCUGAUGGCUAUUGGGUAGCCUCUUAUAUCACUAGUAAGUUUAAAGAGCAAGUAUGUGCUUCUGGUACUACAUGGAGGCAUGUAGACCAGGAGAUGAAGACAUUUUAUUACAAUGAAUUCGUAAAAAGGUAUACAUGGAAAGAUGGCCAAGAAGAACAGUUUAAAGCUACAUGGAAUAGUUAUUGUGCUAAAUUGUACAGAGACCUCAUGUAUUAUAUCAAGAAAAAAGGCACCAGGCCAGCGUAUAUUUCAAAGACGACAUGGAGUGCAUGGACGACCACUUAGGCUGCAGAAAGAUGGCGAGAAAAUGCUGAAAAGGCUCGAUCUAAUAGAAAUACAUAGCCAGGUGGCCCGAGCACCGGAAUCGCUCGACAUACGUCAGGAUCGAAAUCUAUUGUUGAGCAUGCUAUGGAUUUGGAGCAUGAUCUUGCUUGGCAGCCCACAUGCAUGGAGGUAUUUCUGAAGACCCAUAAGAAGAAAGAUGGGACAUUUGUCGAUUCUCGAUCUCGGACCCUACACGUGUCAGGGUGUACAUAUUCAGCACGAUCAUCAUCAUCAUCAUCAUCAUUUUCUUUCUAUCUAGG
Molecule: long non-coding RNA, 591 nt
Organism: Zingiber officinale
Lineage: Eukaryota; Viridiplantae; Streptophyta; Magnoliopsida; Zingiberales; Zingiberaceae
Exons: 4
Source: RefSeq, a predicted model, not a curated record